RNAcentral lists this transfer RNA (73 nucleotides) under Salmo salar (Atlantic salmon). It matches the Rfam family "tRNA". Rfam says of the family: Transfer RNA (tRNA) molecules are approximately 80 nucleotides in length. Their secondary structure includes four short double-helical elements and three loops (D, anti-codon, and T loops). Further hydrogen bonds mediate the characteristic L-shaped molecular structure. tRNAs have two regions of fundamental functional importance: the anti-codon, which is responsible for specific mRNA codon recognition, and the 3' end, to which the tRNAs corresponding amino acid is attached (by aminoacyl-tRNA synthetases). tRNAs cope with the degeneracy of the genetic code in two manners: having more than one tRNA (with a specific anti-codon) for a particular amino acid; and 'wobble' base-pairing, i.e. permitting non-standard base-pairing at the 3rd anti-codon position. The record is from Rfam by way of RNAcentral. Lineage: Eukaryota; Metazoa; Chordata; Actinopteri; Salmoniformes; Salmonidae.
ACCUGGCUCGCUCAAUCGGUAGAGCAUGAUACUCUUAAUCUCAGGGUUGCGGUUUUGACCCCCACGUUGGGUA